CCUACGGGAGGCAGCAGUGAGGAAUAUUGGUCAAUGGGCGCGAGCCUGAACCAGCCAAGUAGCGUGAAGGAUGACUGCCCUACGGGUUGUAAACUUCUUUUGUAAAGGAAUAAAGUGAGGCACGUGUGCCUUUUUGUAUGUACUUUAUGAAUAAGCAUCGGCUAACUCCGUGCCAGCAGCCGCGGUAAUACGGGGGAUGCAAGCGUUAUCCGGAUUUAUUGGGUUUAAAGGGUGCGUAGGCUGUGAGGUAAGUCAGCGGUGAAAUGCCCCCGCUCAACGGGGUGAAGUGCCAUUGAUACUGGCAGGCUGGAGUGGGGAUGCAGUGGGAGGAAUGUGCGGUGUAGCGGUGAAAUGCAUAGAUAUCACACAGAACACCGAUUGCGAAGGCAGCUCACG
RNAcentral lists this ribosomal RNA (396 nucleotides) under uncultured bacterium. Its description in RNAcentral is "partial 16S ribosomal RNA". It matches the Rfam family "Bacterial small subunit ribosomal RNA", at positions 338 to 730 of the family's 1533-position model. The record is from RNAcentral.